RNAcentral lists this unclassified non-coding RNA (1374 nucleotides) under Hevea brasiliensis (rubber tree). The record is from RNAcentral. Lineage: Eukaryota; Viridiplantae; Streptophyta; Magnoliopsida; Malpighiales; Euphorbiaceae.
CGCAGACAAUAAAUUGUACUAUUCUUUCUCCUUCUUUAUUAGUAGUUCACAGAAAGCAUAUGAAAUCGAGUUCCUCUUCUCUCUAUUUCUCUCAGCCUGUCUCUCUUGCAUUUGUCUUACCCUUUGAUUUUAAAUCUCAUGCGUCAAACUGAAAUCCUGGAUUCUGUAUCCAAUCUGCUUCCAAAGAUGUAGAGUGAAGUGGAAACUAUAUAAAACAGAUCAUUUCUUGGUUUAUUUUAUCAUUUCUUUUUCUUUCUCGUCUACAAUGAUGUAUGUAUCUCAGAACUGAAUUCCCAAUUCAAAGUAUUGGUUCUGCUCCUGAUCUUGGUCAGUGUCGCUCUGUUUUCUCUGAUCUUCUGUGGAAUUUGAGCUCCAGCUAAAAGAAAAUGGCUCCAAACUCAGUUGUUGUCACCAUGGAGAAGCCUAACCACUUCUCUAUAGUAGAAAUCAAUGCCUCAGAUCCAUCUUUGUUUCCUGAGAAACGAAAGGCUGUGAGCCCCAAGCAAUUCUCAUGGGUUCUUCUCCUCAAAGCUUAUAAAGCUCUCACUUGCGUUUCGUGGUUGGCAUUGGCUUUUAAAGCCACAUUUAUUUCAAUCAAGAAACGCUUUGCUUUAUCUAAAAUGAGUAAAGAGGAGCCUAGAAGUAGAGGAAAGUUGUAUAGAUUUAUCAAAGCAUUUCUUGUUAUAUCUAUAGUAGCUUUGAUCAUAGAAGUUAUUGCACAUUUCAAGAUUUGGAGCUCGAAUCUGAAAAAUCCAUGGGAGAUUCAGGGUCUAGUGCAAUGGUGUUAUAUGGCCUGGUUAUCAUUUAGAGCUCAUUAUAUUGCUCCUUUGGUGAUAACGGUUUCCAAAUUCUGUACUGUGCUAUUCCUGAUCCAAUCUCUCGACAGGCUAGUUCUUUGUCUGGGAUGUUUCUGGAUUAAGUACAAGAAGUUGAAGCCUGAGAUAAAUGGUGAGGCUUAUGACAUUGAGGAUCCUUCAAGUUUUCCAAUGGUUCUUGUUCAGAUUCCAAUGUGCAAUGAGAAAGAGGUCUAUUCACAAUCCAUUUCUGCAGCCUGUCAGCUUGAUUGGCCAAGGGACAGGUUGUUAAUUCAAGUUCUAGAUGAUUCUGAUGAUGGAAAUGUGCAGCUCUUAAUCAAAGAUGAAGUUUCUUCAUGGCGUCAGAAAGGGAUCAAUAUAUUCUACAGACAUAGAUUGAUCAGAACAGGAUACAAAGCUGGCAAUCUUAAAUCAGCCAUGGGCUGUGACUAUGUCCGGGACUAUGAAUUCGUCGCGAUAUUCGAUGCAGACUUUCAGCCCAAUCCAGACUUCCUCAAGCAAACAAUUCCUCACUUCAAGGGGAAUCCUGAAUUGGGUCUACUUCAGGCUCGCUGGUCUU